This 1103-nucleotide ribosomal RNA is filed under the name Saprolegnia aenigmatica. RNAcentral describes it as "partial 28S ribosomal RNA". It matches the Rfam family "Eukaryotic large subunit ribosomal RNA", at positions 68 to 1051 of the family's 3401-position model. Lineage: Eukaryota; Oomycota; Saprolegniomycetes; Saprolegniales; Saprolegniaceae. The record is from RNAcentral.
AACAGGAUUCCCCCAGUAACGGCGAGUGAAGCGGGAAGAGCUCAAGCUUAAAAUCUCCAUACUUGUAUGGCGAAUUGUAGUCUAUUGAGGCUGUUGUCAGCAUCGCGAUUGGGGACAAGUCCCUUGGAAAAGGGCAGCAUGGAGGGUGAUACUCCCGUCUCUGCUCCAAUUUGCGGUGUGUACGAUACGCUUUCUUUGAGUCGAGUUGUUUGGGAAUACAGCUCAAAGUCARGUGGURWAUUCCAUCUAAAGCUAAAUAUUGGUGCAAGACCGAUAGCGAACAAGUACGUGAGGGAAAGAUGAAAAGAACUUUGAAAAGAGAGUUAAAGAGUACCUGAAACUGUUGAAAGGGAACCGUAUCGUUUCCAGUGUUUUAUCUCGUGCAUAUUUCAUUCGCGGAGCAAUUUGCGGGUGCCCUGUGCAUGGGUGUGACGUCAGGGUCAGUUUGUAUGCUGCGGGAGAUGGUCAGUGAGGAGGUGCGUCACUUCGGUGAAAGUUAUAUCUCGCUGUCUAGUAGCCGUGGUUGAGACUGAGGUGCCUACAACAUGCCUUAAAGUUCCACGUUGUCUCGUGUUGGUGACUGCUUUGAUAGCUUGCUAUGUCUGUGGUUCAUCAAUGCGAUCGGUGGUGUGGAUAACUUUUGCUGUUCGGGACUCUGGCGAAAUGGAGCGAUACGACCCGUCUUGAAACACGGACCAAGGAGUCUAACAUGUGUGCAAGUAUUAGGGCGUGGAAACCCAAAUGCGUAAUGAAAGUAAAUGCUGCUUAUGCAGCUUUGGUAGGAAAGGGCUGUCAAGGUCCUGGCACUAUCGACCGAUCAUGAGCCUACGGGCAAAAGAUUGAGUAUGAGCAUAUAUGUUGGUACCCGAAAGAUGGUGAACUAUGCCUGAAUAGGGUGAAGCCAGGGGAAACUCUGGUGGAAGCUCGUAGCGAUUCUGACGUGCAAAUCGAUCGUCAAAUUUGGGUAUAGGGGCGAAAGACUAAUCGAACCAUCUAGUAGCUGGUUCCCUCCGAAAUUUCCCUCAGGAUAGCAGCAACUUUUUACGAUAGUUUUAUGAGGUAAAGCGAAUGAUUAGAGGCCUCGGGGAAGAAACUUCCUCGAC